This is a long non-coding RNA of Ursus thibetanus thibetanus, 4299 nucleotides long. Lineage: Eukaryota; Metazoa; Chordata; Mammalia; Carnivora; Ursidae. The record is from Ensembl.
UAUCUGCACUUCCGGUGAUAUAUGUCCAGUGUACCCAUUUGCAGGCAACUCAUUAAUAAAAUUAGCUUUCUUUGAAAAGCUUGCAUUAUGGUUCACAUGAAAAUUAUGACUUGAAUAAUCCUGAAGAAGAAUUUAAUGGAAUUUGUAGUGAGGACACAUUGCUGCAUGCAAUAUCAUCUUAAAGGAAAAAAGGAGUUUAUUGACUCAUAUAACUGAAAAUUUUUGGUAUAGGUCCGUCUUCAGGCAAUGCUGUAUUUGAGGAUUAUAAUAAGGUCCUUAAGAUUUGGUCUCUCUUUACCUCUCAAUCUCUGCUUUCUUUUUUCUUUUCUUUCUUUUGCAUCUGCUUCAUUUCAAGUCGGCCAAACAACAGACCCUUCUCCACCUCCUCCCUCUUUCAGGGCAAAAUUUCUCCUAAAAUUAUAAUAAAAUAUCUUUGGGAUUGAGUUUGGUCCUAACUUGGGUUCUCUAAAUUGAAUCACUCUGUUCAUCAGGUGUGAUACUCUGAUGGGCAGUACCUAAGGCACAUGCAAGCCCAGACCCAAAGGUGAGAUCAACUCUCUUGUUUCAUAUGUAUUGAGAAUGGGGAGGGCAAGGUAUCUCUAAAGGCUGUUAAGUGAAUAUGGGAGAUUUGACAUAGACAGGGAAAAAGAUAUCUAAUAUAACUUCAUAUAUUUUUCUACAUAUGGAAGCUCUAUAUAUGUGUAUAUAUAAAAUUUAUAUUAUAUAUGAAUUGUAUAUAUUAUAUAUAUAUAUAUAUAUAUAUAUAUAUAUAUAUAUAUAUAUAUAUAUAUAUAUUUAUAUUUAUAUUGUUGGACAGAUUAGGAGAGAUGAAGGCCUUGGAAAACAUCCAAAUUUUGACACCAUGAAGGCAAGGAGACUGUUUUCCCGUUACCCUGCAAACCUAUUACUGUGGAGGAUGAAGAGGGUUAUGUCUCUUAGAUGGCUGCUACUGGCUGAGCUACUGAGAAACCAUGGUGAAAGGUGGAUCUCAGACUGAUGGAUGCCUCCAAAAAAGCUACCCUGAUGGGCUCCAGAUAACGUUAUGGACCCGACUCUGGUCUAGUAGACCCACCUGUCUGUCUCACUCCAGCUUUUCCGUCCAUCUCUGUGAUGGGAACACCACACACACAGGUGAUUUCAAUCGGAGAUGUGGUCAUAUUUGUAAUUCAAAUAGCAGUGAUUACAUUCGUAACACAAUCCUUAUAGAAAUCAAGGAAAAUACUGAAGUUUAUUGACAACACUGAAUAAUUUGGAGAUGAGCACUGUAUUUGAUAGCAAGUGGGAGAAAAUAUGGAGUAGCUCUUAUCUCAUCUCAUAUACUAGUCCUCAAUUUCUACUGAUAUUUCCUUGCUGGAGUGUCCAUGGUAUGAAAUUUUCAUGCUUCUCCUUUGUGUCUGAAUUCUGUUGUGUGCCUGGCCUAUGUAUCCGUCUUGGGUUCUAUUCCUCCUGCCACCCUUGAGUUGGGGCCCUCAUGUGGGGAGGUGUUUUUAGAUGUAGAAACAGAGUCUCAUAUUGAAUGCUUGUAUAGUUUAUCUGGUGCCUGGUGCCUCUGUUCCUUCCAAGCACAUCCACAUAGUGACGUGCUUUUAAGCCCGAGGUUCUCUGACCUGUGGGAGAGAUGCAUCAGGUCCUCUUUCUGCAUUUUGAGGGUGCAUUUUGGUACUCUGCAGAAAAGAAAAAAGUGUCUCUCUUCCUUUGCCAAAUGCAUCAGUCAUGGUGUUGUAACUAACAAAAUUUCUCUUCAGUUCCCUAAAUCUAUUCCUCUACUGUAGUCUAUCUUAGUGAAAAGCACCACCAUCCAGUCAAUUACAUAUGCCUGGACACCUUGGCUAUCACUGAUGUCUUCCGUCACAUCCACUAAAUCUUACACAGUUUGCCUUUUUAUUUAUCUCUUAAAUCUGAUCUCUCUUCCCCAUCUUCUGUGCCCUGUUUAGUUCAGGUGUGCCUUGUUUCUCAUCCAAGUUAACAUAGUAGCGUCCAUUCUGAAUUCUGUUGCUGCCAUUCUAUUUUUAUUUCUAUUUCAAACAUAAUGAUGUCAAUCUUCUACUUAAAAUCCUAAAUAGUCCCCAUAAUAUUCAGAAUAAAGUUAAAUUGUUAUGGUGUGUUUCACAGUAAACUUUAGUAUCAGCUCCUACUUACUGCCCUGUCGUUUUGUACUCUCACAUGACUGAUUUGUCCACCAUUCCAGCCACUUGUAGUCUACCGAAUUUGUUCUGUUUUGUGAUUUUACGCAUGCUUUCUUUGUCCCUGCAAUGGCUUUCUCUACUGUCUUCACUUGUCUCGGUCCCGAUCUUCCUUUGCAGACUCUACCCAGGUGUCUUUGCUUUGGGGAAAUCUGACUUAAUUUUCUGGCCUUAAUGUUUUGCCCUUAUGCUUUAUUCCCAAAGCACAUUUUCAGAAAAUUUGCCACCUAUUAUUGCAUUAUAUUAUAACUGUGUUUUUUACUUGGCUGAUACUUCAUUUGGCGUCUUCCUAUCUAUGCUGUGAACUUAUUGAGAGGAGGAUGAUACCUUCCCUGUCCUUGGCACAGUACCUGGUAUAUAGUAGAUCUCUAUAAAUAUUUAUUGAAUGGAUGAGUAAUCAGAGCACAGAACCUGGUAUACUGUCCACAUGGCUUACAGGUGGUACAGAGACACCUGUCUUCAGGUUGUGUUUAGUUUACCUGAGAGAUUUGGAACUGAACCAUCACUGUUGCAUCAAAGAGGAAUUAAUUAUGGGUCUUUGGUGUUUCAAAGAUGGGUGAUAUAGCUUGGCUGAGGUUGCCCCUGUCUUGGCAGAGGGCAAGGAUUUUAUGUCUAGAAAUCUGUAGGCAUUGAGAGAAGACUCAGUUUUGAUCUAUUCAUCUGAGAAAGUGUAUUUUGGACAUGGUGGCUGAGACUAUCCUAGAAUUCAUCAUCCAGGAUACCUUUGCUUUUAUCUCACUCAUUUUGGGAUGUAGUAAAUCUGAGGUGUAUUGGAAACAAUGCCAAGGAUUAUUAAGAUGAUGAAGAAUUCUCCAUAUCUGUCUUAGGGACUGGAGCAAAAAUUGGAAUGGACAUGGAACUCUAUUUGGGCCUAGAUAGAAGCUGACUUGCCAAAACUCCCAAAGUCUCUUUGAUUUGUUGGCUGGAGUUGGGCCAAAAACUUUGACAUAGGCUCUGUAUUAAUUAGCACACAGAGUAAGCUGCUGGAAGAAAGAGACCUCAAAAUAUGCAACAGUCUGGAAAUGUGUGGCCAGUUCAGGGUAGGUAUGGGCUCUGUUCUCUGAGGUCAUUCAUGGGCCUUGGUUUCUUUUGUCUUAUUGCUAUUUUAUUUCUUGGACCAGAGGUUGGAAAACUUUAUUAUACAUUAAAAGAUAUGUUGGGCUCCAUGUCCAGAGUUUCCACUUCAGAUCUGGGGUGGGUCUUGAGAAUUUGCAUUUCUAACAAUUUUCCUGGGGAUGCCGAUGCUGUUGGUCUUAGAACUACACUUUGACAACCACUAUCCUAGGGUGUGGUCCUUGUCCAUUUGGCUGUGGUUGGCCCGCCUGCAUCCGCCCAUGUUCCAACCCUGAAGGAAGGGGCAAAGAAAAAGAGCAUGAAGUAGACCUGUUUUAAGGACAGGUCCCAAAAGUUGUACAUAUUCCUUUUGCUUACAUUUCAUUGGCAAGAUCUUUGUAACACAACUGUCUGCAAGGAAGGCUGGGAAAUGGAGCUUCUAGGUGACAGAUCAUGUUCCCAACUAAAAUACGGGUAAUCUGUUACGAAAAGGAAGAAGAGGAGAAAUAGUGGUCUUUGCCCAGCUUUUGCCUUGCGGUCAUAUGUCCUCCUGUGCUCUGUGAUGCAGAGGCAGGAUACUCUCUGCAGGUUCAGAGCAGUUCUCCCAGGACUUGAGAAAUGCCCUGAGCUCAGCCAGGCUCCUGGGGAGUCCUCAGACCCUUGAACUUGGCUUGUGCACUACUGUGGCCUAAAACGUUGAUUUUUCUCCUCCCCGCUGCUGCCCUCCUCCUUUUUCUCUCUCUGCCUCAGACCUCUCCAUCAGGUGGCCCAUUUUCUUCACAGCUGAUACUACAGCAACUGUGUUCUUAUCCUGCUGAUGCUGCUUCCAGUUUUGAUAGUGGUUGACUGCUUGAGGAGGAAUAAAAUUCUUCCUAUUCUUCUCGUGGGUAGCUGAACUCUUAAACCUAUUGCUCCAACCUGAAGCUUGGCCUUCAAAAACAUGAAAUUGUUUUAACCUGCCAGGUUGCCUUGCACAGAGAGUGAAAGAACUGCAUUAUAUCUAAUAAAAGGAUUUCUGAUUUGUAACAAAAGUGGUCCAUAAUGUGGGUUUCACUGACCUAUG